AUUGAACGCUGGCGGCAUGCUUUACACAUGCAAGUCGAACGGUAACAGGUCUUCGGAUGCUGACGAGUGGCGAACGGGUGAGUAAUGCAUCGGAACGUGCCCAGUCGUGGGGGAGUAACGCAGCGAAAGACUGUGCUAAUACCGCAUACGAUCUCUGGAUGAAAGCGGGGGACCCGUCGGGCCUCGCGCGAUUGGAGCGGCCGAUGUCAGAUUAGCUAGUUGGUGGGGUAAAGGCCCACCAAGGCGACGAUCUGUAGCUGGUCUGAGAGGACGACCAGCCACACUGGGACGUGAGACACGGCCCAGACU
RNAcentral lists this ribosomal RNA (309 nucleotides) under uncultured bacterium. Its description in RNAcentral is "bacterial SSU rRNA". It matches the Rfam family "Bacterial small subunit ribosomal RNA", at positions 30 to 337 of the family's 1533-position model. The record is from RNAcentral.